Poecile atricapillus (Black-capped chickadee) is the source of this 988-nucleotide long non-coding RNA. RefSeq lists it as uncharacterized. NCBI's taxonomy places the organism in Eukaryota, Metazoa, Chordata, Aves, Passeriformes, Paridae. The transcript is spliced from 3 exons. The record is from RefSeq and is a predicted model, not a curated record.
CACCAUGGUUCCCACUUCUGGAGCCAGAUUGCUGUCUCAGCCAUCAAUAGGACAGGUUCUUUCUUUAGAAAUGAACUAUUAUUGUUUUUUUAACCCAUGUGUAAGCAAGAGAGUAAAACACCAACACUUUUGUUGUUACAGAGAUAGCUUCCCUACAGAGAUAGGGUUUGAUGAUGCUGUCCUUGUUCCUCCCUUGUAGGACAGAUUCCUCCUGGAAGCAGAUGUUUUGUCUGUCCUUCAUUGUCAGAUCGGGGCACAUGGUGGAUUUGGGGAGCAGCAGCUCAGUCUGCAGCAGUGCACGCAGCCCCAGUUGCUUGUGGCCAGGCCCCUCCUGGGAUGUUCUCCAUGCAGCUGCCAAAGUGCUGGCCAAAAUCCCCUCCCCCGGUGAGAACUGCCUUGGUCUUUAAUACAAAGCUGCACCUCACUCUUGGCUGCUGCCUCAGCCUCAGGCUGGGAGCUCCCCCGAGGGCAGUGCCCCGACAAUGACAACAGGACUUCAUGGCUUCGAGCCGUGGGCAGGUUUGUCCCAGCCUACAAGCAUCCCACAGCUGCCUGCAGAUGCAACCCUUUGUCUGAGGAGAAGCAAGGAGGAGACAGCACUAGUGCUUUUAGCCUGAAAGAGGUACAAAGAGGGCAAUACUGACUGCUAUUCAGAUGGAAAAGACCAGCAAUGUAAAGGAUGCAUCAUCCUAGCACCCAAACCAACAAGCUAAGAAGCAUUAAGUUAAUCACGGUCUUAGUUAUUGACCUGUGUAGAAAUACCUCUGUACUUAGUGGAUUUUCAGGACACACAGAAGCAUUGCCAUACCUGUUCUACAUUAGAAGAAAUAAAGUGUCCAAAUGGUGAAAGUAGCUUCUGUUAGUGCACUCUUGUUUUAAAGACUGGGAUUGGUCAACAGAUAUGCUGGAAAGGACACUGAAAGUGUGUUUUCAUUGCUAGAAAGUAACAUCUCCACACUGAAAAAGCCAAAAAAAAAAAAAAAAAAAA